Molecule: long non-coding RNA, 550 nt
Filed under: Vulpes vulpes (red fox)
Lineage: Eukaryota; Metazoa; Chordata; Mammalia; Carnivora; Canidae
Description: lncRNA (ENSVVUG00000007585.1)
Source: RNAcentral
CUGAUAUCACAUAACCAGGAAUUGAGUGCUUGGUAUCUGAUGCCAAUUUCUGCACUGCAUGAUCUUCUCAUUGAUACUAGAGUGAAUGCAACAUAGGUAGGCAAGCACAUCUUUUGCAUAAAGCCAUCUAUUAAAAAUAUGGACAGGCCUUUUGGGUUAUUUGCUGAUUUGGGUUGUCAUGCACUGUGCCACUCUGUAUUUUGCAGAUAAUGAAAGCUGAGAGCACCCUCUGUCUUUGUAAGCAUCUGUUUGUGUGCUAUGUGGUCAGGAGAAGAACAAGGAUCGAGAGCGGAGUGUCGAGAUCCGAUGAACUUGACCUUAUAGUGACUGAGCAUCUGAGACGUGGAAGAAAUACUGUUAUUACAUUGAAGUAACAGCCUGGGGAAAAGCAACAACAAACCACUUCACUCCUCUGGGUGGAAACAUGCAAUUGUACCAAGAAGGACAAGGAAAAAACUUCUCAUACAUAGAGAAAGAAGUUGGAAUAAGGGAGUGAAAGCAGACAGGCUACUUGGGCAUCUGACGCAAGAGAUGUGAGAAAGUAGCUCAG